This is a non-coding RNA of Schizosaccharomyces pombe (fission yeast), 670 nucleotides long. Lineage: Eukaryota; Fungi; Ascomycota; Schizosaccharomycetes; Schizosaccharomycetales; Schizosaccharomycetaceae. The record is from the annotation of a GenBank genome assembly.
AAGGAACCGAAGGUAACUUGCACACCUUGAGCAGUGACUGGGAGUAACACUCUCCUUGACAUUCCCUCGGUACAUAGGAGACGAAUGAACCGAAUGAACAAAUAAACUAGAUAGUUGCCCAAAAAUGCACACAAAGCAUUAUCACUUUUAUUAAUUCAAAUAACGACAUACCAAAGUCGUAAAAGUUGGUAACAAACUCUUCAAAUGAUAUUUCUACUAUAACAUUUUUCGUAGUACUUACCACUACGGGAGAUUUGUAGAAUCGGUAUGAUGCUGUGGAAGAAGAGUUAUAGCGGGUUUCCUCAAUGUGUACAUGUUAUUCUCAUUGUACACUUGCAUCUUAAUUUUCACAUUGCUCUCUCCCAUCAAUGAUUUGCUUUGGAAAAACAACGGGAACAGAAAUCUGGGAGGGAACGGAAAAGUAUAUUCAUAGCAAUCACAAUUUAACGAUAAUUAUUAUGGUCAAAUGAAUACAUAUAUUGAAAAGAAUCGGUCAGCUGGAUAGAAAAUAUGUAAACAGUGCAGCACUUAUGAAGGUAAUUUUAUUUGUUUGCAUCAGGUAGCAAGAGUUUUACGGGGAUUAAUAGAAUUCGUUAUAUAUACACUAACAAUAUAGGACGUAGUUUGUUAUUGCUACCUAGUGUUGGGCGAUACCAGCUAACGGUGUAGU